GAUGAACGCUGGCGGCGUGCCUAAUACAUGCAAGUCGAGCGAACAGACGAGGAGCUUGCUCCUCUGACGUUAGCGGCGGACGGGUGAGUAACACGUGGAUAACCUACCUAUAAGACUGGGAUAACUUCGGGAAACCGGAGCUAAUACCGGAUAAUAUAUUGAACCGCAUGGUUCAAUAGUGAAAGACGGUUUUGCUGUCACUUAUAGAUGGAUCCGCGCCGCAUUAGCUAGUUGGUAAGGUAACGGCUUACCAAGGCAACGAUGCGUAGCCGACCUGAGAGGGGGUUCGGCCACACUGGAACUGAGACACGGUCCAGACUCCUACGGGAGGCAGCAGUAGGGAAUCUUCCGCAAUGGGCGAAAGCCUGACGGAGCAACGCCGCGUGAGUGAUGAAGGUCUUCGGAUCGUAAAACUCUGUUAUUAGGGAAGAACAAAUGUGUAAGUAACUAUGCACGUCUUGACGGUACCUAAUCAGAAAGCCACGGCUAACUACGUG
RNAcentral lists this ribosomal RNA (497 nucleotides) under uncultured bacterium. RNAcentral's name for it is "partial 16S ribosomal RNA". It matches the Rfam family "Bacterial small subunit ribosomal RNA", at positions 28 to 507 of the family's 1533-position model. The record is from RNAcentral.